CUCUUCACUUCUUCCGUCCGUCUCGCUCUCCGGCAAAGACGAGGCAACCCGCCGCCACGCCGCCGGUGGCAAAAUCAUCCAUACAACGGCGGCAGGCUGCCGGCUUUUUCGCCCCAUCACCGGCGAAGUUGUACCACGUGACUAUGUAAAUGUCUUCAUUUCGGCAAAAUGUUGACAGCAUAAAAAUCUGACCGAAGCUUUCUGCUGAGGGCGAGCGGCGGAAGAACAGGCAGUGUCCUGCAGAGAAUCAUCCUCAUCGUCUUCAUCCAUGAGGUCCGACGUGAGGAAGGAGUCGGUGUCGGAGCCAUCACCCAAGGAAUCAAAUGAGGAAGAGAAGCCAGAGGAGAAAUCACUGUCAGAGGCCUCUCCUCCUUGGUGACCCAUCUCCUGUUUGUUGUCUGUUGAUGCCACGAAGUUUGCAAAGUGCAUAGCACAGCUGCUCUCGCCGGCCGACAUGGCCGCCGCCGCCGGCUGGCUGAUGCAAGAAGAUUGUGGCGAUGUUGUGUUCUCCAUGUGUAUGAGAAACUGCAAGCAGAAGCAGGCUAGCAGCAGUGAUAAAGCUUCUAGGUGGGUGUUGUGUUCUGGAUGGAAUGCAGGGUACGGCUCGUGCUGACCGUAUAUAUAGCUCCGGCUCCGGCUCCAGCGAGUGGAUAUGAAUGGAAGUACAUGAGCGUGAACUGUCUGUCAGACACUGGCGCCCGUUUUAAAAAUUGAGAAUGGAUGAAUCUUAUCGUUGUAAUGGUCUCUUGAUCGAGAAUAAUUCCGUGAUCGAUCAUUGUGACCGAUCAAUCGAUCGCCAUCAUGCAUAUUCUUUGGUGAUUGGGACCCAAGCAGCAGCAGCAGCAGAAGCAGUUGGGAUGCAUAGCCGGCUGGUGAUACAUGGAGAGCUACACUCCACCUACUUAUUGGUUCUACUAGUACUAUCUCUCCAUUUGUGCCACGUUUCUCUUAUUUGAAUGGGUUGAUAGAGCUGCUGUACUGGUGGUAACUGCUUUGGAUCCGGAGCUCAAGGGGUUACAUAUUCUAAAAAAUGAAAUCAAAAGUGCAUGCACAUGUUCUAAAAGAAUGUCCCACAUGUAUAUGUGGGAGAACACUGUGAAUCUACAAAGUUUU
Molecule: long non-coding RNA, 1113 nt
Organism: Triticum aestivum (bread wheat)
Lineage: Eukaryota; Viridiplantae; Streptophyta; Magnoliopsida; Poales; Poaceae
Exons: 4
Source: RefSeq, a predicted model, not a curated record